RNAcentral lists this ribosomal RNA (423 nucleotides) under Clostridioides difficile. RNAcentral describes it as "bacterial SSU rRNA". It matches the Rfam family "Bacterial small subunit ribosomal RNA", at positions 1017 to 1441 of the family's 1533-position model. Lineage: Bacteria; Bacillati; Bacillota; Clostridia; Peptostreptococcales; Peptostreptococcaceae. The record is from RNAcentral.
CUUCGGGGACAUUGGUGACAGGUGGUGCAUGGUUGUCGUCAGCUCGUGUCGUGAGAUGUUGGGUUAAGUCCCGCAACGAGCGCAACCCUUGUCUUUAGUUGCCAUCAUUAAGUUGGGCACUCUAGAGAGACUGCCAGGGAUAACCUGGAGGAAGGUGGGGAUGACGUCAAAUCAUCAUGCCCCUUAUGCUUAGGGCUACACACGUGCUACAAUGGGUAGUACAGAGGGUUGCCAAGCCGUAAGGUGGAGCUAAUCCCUUAAAGCUACUCUCAGUUCGGAUUGUAGGCUGAAACUCGCCUACAUGAAGCUGGAGUUACUAGUAAUCGCAGAUCAGAAUGCUGCGGUGAAUGCGUUCCCGGGUCUUGUACACACCGCCCGUCACACCACGGGAGUUGGAGACGCCCGAAGCCGAUUAUCUAACCU